AUGUUCACUUUGGCAGCACAUAUACUAAAAUUAGAACAAUACAGAAGAGAUUAGUGUGGCUCUUGUACAAGGAUGACACACAAAUUCAUGAAGCAUUCCAUAUUUUA
Myotis lucifugus (little brown bat) is the source of this 107-nucleotide small nuclear RNA. The record is from Ensembl. NCBI's taxonomy places the organism in Eukaryota, Metazoa, Chordata, Mammalia, Chiroptera, Vespertilionidae.